This 74-nucleotide transfer RNA is filed under the name Benthosema pterotum (skinnycheek lanternfish). Its description in RNAcentral is "tRNA-Thr". It matches the Rfam family "tRNA". From Rfam's summary of the family: Transfer RNA (tRNA) molecules are approximately 80 nucleotides in length. The record is from RNAcentral. Lineage: Eukaryota; Metazoa; Chordata; Actinopteri; Myctophiformes; Myctophidae.
GCCCUCGUAGCUCAGCAGGUUAGAGCGUCGGUUUUGUAAUCCGAAGGCCGGAAGUUUAAAUCCUCCCGAGCGCA